Molecule: long non-coding RNA, 316 nt
Organism: Oncorhynchus keta (chum salmon)
Lineage: Eukaryota; Metazoa; Chordata; Actinopteri; Salmoniformes; Salmonidae
Exons: 3
Source: RefSeq, a predicted model, not a curated record
GGAGGCUGAUGGCUAUGGGUUAGAUACUGUGUUGGUUGUUCUCAGUGAGAGAUCAUUGCUGGGAGGUCAUUACUGAAAGAUGAUUGCUGAGAGAGGAGGUUGAUGGCUGAGGUUUAUAUCAGGGGAAGGGGAAGCCACCUAGGGAGUGCUUAGGCAAGAGGCCCACGAGCAUACAUAUACCACCGUCUAGGCACACUAGCUUGCCAGCAGCUCCACGGAGUCCCCCACUCACUUGUUGAUGAUCAGAGGAACACCCACAACUGAAACACACAAAUAGAAAUGUUAUAAAGGGUAAAUAAAAUAAAAUGGCUGCACA